This 254-nucleotide long non-coding RNA is filed under the name Vitis vinifera (wine grape). RNAcentral describes it as "long non-coding RNA (VVIN_LNC002405)". Lineage: Eukaryota; Viridiplantae; Streptophyta; Magnoliopsida; Vitales; Vitaceae. The record is from RNAcentral.
AGAGAUUUCCACCAUCUUUAUGCCAAGGCUUAAGGGUGAGUCAUCAAACAAAAGAUCUCUAAGUUUUUGAGGUCGUAUUCAACACUUGGAACUUAAGAUUUAGGAACAUCCAAACCUAAAUAUUAUUAUUUUAAUCCUAAAAAUCAAUGUUUUAAAAAUUGGUAUUGCUUUCAUUGUGCAUGGAUCUAAGAUGCCAACACAAUAAAUGUUAAAGAUUUUAUAUCGUAUAAUAAAAGUUUGAAAAAAGGUAUAAC